AGUGGGGAAUCUUGCACAAUGGAGGAAACUCUGAUGCAGCGAUGCCGCGUGAGUGAAGAAGGCCCUUGGGUUGUAAAGCUCUUUCGUCGGGGAAGAAAAUGACUGUACCCGAAUAAGAAGGUCCGGCUAACUUCGUGCCAGCAGCCGCGGUAAUACGAAGGGACCUAGCGUAGUUCGGAAUUACUGGGCUUAAAGAGUUCGUAGGUGGUUGAAAAAGUUAGUGGUGAAAUCCCAGAGCUUAACUCUGGAACUGCCAUUAAAACUUUUCAGCUAGAGUAUGAUAGAGGAAAGCAGAAUUUCUAGUGUAGAGGUGAAAUUCGUAGAUAUUAGAAAGAAUACCAAUUGCGAAGGCAGCUUUCUGGAUCAUUACUGACACUGAGGAACGAAAGCAUGGGUAGCGAAGAGGAUUAGAUACCCUCGUAGUCCAUGCCGUAAACGAUGUGUGUUAGACGUUGGAAAUUUAUUUUCAGUGUCGCAGCGAAAGCGAUAAACACACCNCCUGGGGAGUAC
RNAcentral lists this ribosomal RNA (510 nucleotides) under uncultured bacterium. Its description in RNAcentral is "bacterial SSU rRNA". It matches the Rfam family "Bacterial small subunit ribosomal RNA", at positions 353 to 883 of the family's 1533-position model. The record is from RNAcentral.